This 520-nucleotide ribosomal RNA is filed under the name uncultured Glomus. Its description in RNAcentral is "SSU rRNA". It matches the Rfam family "Eukaryotic small subunit ribosomal RNA", at positions 569 to 1092 of the family's 1831-position model. The record is from RNAcentral. Lineage: Eukaryota; Fungi; Glomeromycota; Glomeromycetes; Glomerales; Glomeraceae.
AGCAGCCGCGGUAAUUCCAGCUCCAAUAGCGUAUAUUAAAGUUGCUGCAGUUAAAAAGCUCGUAGUUGAAUUUCGGGACUAAUAUGUCGGUCGUGCCUCGGUACGUACUGGUAUUUUUGGUUUCUCCUUUCUGACGAACCUUGAUGUCAUUAAUUUGGUGUCUUGGGAAAUCAGGACUGUUACUUUGAAAAAAUUAGAGUGUUUAAAGCAGGCUCACGCUUGAAUACAUUAGCAUGGAAUAAUGAAAUAGGACGUUUGAUUCUAUUUUGUUGGUUUCUAGGAUCGACGUAAUGAUUAAUAGGGAUAGUUGGGGGCAUUAGUAUUCAAUUGUCAGAGGUGAAAUUCUUGGAUUUAUUGAAGACUAACUACUGCGAAAGCAUUUGCCAAGGAUGUUUUCAUUAAUCAAGAACGAAAGUUAGGGGAUCGAAGACGAUCAGAUACCGUCGUAGUCUUAACCAUAAACUAUGCCGACUAGGGAUCGGAUGAUGUUAAUUUUUAAUGACUCAUUCGGCGCCUUACG